AACGAACGCUGGCGGCAGGCCUAACACAUGCAAGUCGAACGCCGUAGCAAUACGGAGUGGCAGACGGGUGGGUAACGCGUGGGAACAUACCCUUUGGUUCGGAAUAACUCAGGGAAACUUGAGCUAAUACCGGAUACGUCCGAGGUUUUAAUCGGCCUUGGAGAAAGAUUUAUCGCCGGAGGAUUGGCCCGCGUCUGAUUAGCUUGUUGGUGAGGUAAUGGCUCACCAAGGCGACGAUCAGUAGCUGGUCUGAGAGGAUGAUCAGCCACAUUGGGACUGAGACACGG
RNAcentral lists this ribosomal RNA (287 nucleotides) under uncultured bacterium. Its description in RNAcentral is "partial 16S ribosomal RNA". It matches the Rfam family "Bacterial small subunit ribosomal RNA", at positions 29 to 329 of the family's 1533-position model. The record is from RNAcentral.